AAUUUGGACCCACAAACACUCAUAGAAGUUGUUGUUUGACAAUAGAAGAUAUGAUUCUCUGGACUUUAUUCUUUCUAAUUAGUGUUCAUGGAGUCUGGAGUGAGAUCAGACUGGACCAGUCUCCAUCUGAGGUGAAAAGACCUGGAGAGACAGUGAAGAUGUCUUGUAUCAUAUCUGGAUUUGACAUGACAGACUUCUAUAUUCACUGGAUACGACAGAGACCAGGACAAGCUCUGGAGUGGAUCGGGAGGAUGGAUACAGGCAACAACGCUGCUAUCUAUGCCAGCGCCUUCCAGAAUCGUUUCCCGAUGACUGAAGAUGUGUCCAGCAGCACUCAGUACCUCCAGAUCAAGAGUCUGACAGCAGAAGAUUCUGCUGUUUAUUAUUGUGCUCGACAACCACAGUGAGUGAAGUCAGUGAAGCAGCUGCACAAAAACCUCCACAGAUGUCAGAUAACAGAGAGACAUCAGAGACAUCAUGGCUGAACUCAACAAUACUGUAGAUUAUUAAUAAUAUUAUAAAUGCUUUGAAGCCUGUUAUGCUGAAAGUGACUCAUGAGAAAAAGGUUUUAUAGUUGAACAAAUCUCAUUAAUUCAUGUGUCAGAUGUCUGGAUAUUUAAAAUGCAGAUGGUUGUUGUGUGAAAACUGAGUAUGUGUUGUGGUGUUUAAAAUGUAAUUUCAGUUGAUAAAACAUUGAUUAAUGACAUGAUGUGGUGAGAUGGACUCUGAGAUGACAAAGAAGCAGUUUGAACAAAUGCUUGUCACUGAUCACAGCAACACUGUAGAUUCUCUAUAAUACUGUAAAGGCUUUAAGAGGCUGCCUGUUCUGCUCAAACAGAAUACGAGCUCACAAAGUAACAUAUAAAAAUGAAAGUUCUUUGAAAAUGUGUCACAUGUUUGCAUUUUUGUUAAUAUUAAAAUGCAUACAGUUGUGGUUUUGAUGCUACAG
This is a non-coding RNA of Acanthochromis polyacanthus (spiny chromis), 949 nucleotides long. NCBI's taxonomy places the organism in Eukaryota, Metazoa, Chordata, Actinopteri, Pomacentridae. The record is from the annotation of a RefSeq genome assembly.